This is an RNA transcript of Medicago truncatula (barrel medic), 909 nucleotides long. It is a transcript of the gene named squalene monooxygenase SE1, with no coding region annotated. The transcript is spliced from 7 exons. Lineage: Eukaryota; Viridiplantae; Streptophyta; Magnoliopsida; Fabales; Fabaceae. The record is from RefSeq and is a predicted model, not a curated record.
UCAUGUGCAGGAUAAGGAAUAACUUAUGCUAAAGACAUAAGACCAGACGAUAAGCAAGAACUUGAUGAGGCUUUACAAAGAGAGAUGAGGGAAGAAGACGAGGAAAUUGAAGCUGAUGGUGCCAAUUACCAGCUUGAAAUGAUGAGGUGCUUUUGAGAGGUCAAUGUGGACAAUAAUACAGUUGGAUGGUACAAGUCUACAUUGCUUGGCUCCUAUCAAACUGUGGAGCUGAUUGAAACCUUUAUGAAUUACCAGGUCGCGUACAGAUAGAUCAAUCAAAUAAAGAAACUGAUUUGCUCAAAAAUAACAAUGACUUGAUUUAUGCUUCAGUUGAUAAAACUCCUGAAGGUGUUUCUGAAGCUCUUCACCCAGCCACUGAAGCAUUAUUACAUGACAUUCCAUUUGUUGGUAAAGAUUCAGUUGUAGUCCAAGAAAUUUCUUACAAUGAGAUCAUUGCAAAGGGAAGUUUAGUGGUAAAUGGUAUUCAGUCAAAGCAGGAACAAGUAGAAAAUCGACUUCAUAACCAGGGUGCUGGGGAUAUUCCAAAAUAUGUGAAUCUUGAACCGUCACUAGCAAUGGACUGGCUUGAGAUAUCAUGGGAUGAGCUGCGGAUCAAAGAAAGAACGCAUUGGUGCUGGAUCAUUUGGGACAGUGUACCGUGCUGAAUGGCAUGGAUCACCAGUGGCAUCUACAAUAAACACAUUAGCAGGUGCAUUGUACAAAGUGUUUUGUGCAUCUCCUGAUCCAGCUAGCAUUGAAAUGCACCGAGCAUGUUUUGAUUAUUUGAGCCUUGGAGGUGUUUGCUCAGACGGACCAAUAGCUCUACUCUCCGGUUUGAAUCCGCGUCCAUUGAGCUUGGUUCUACAUUUCUUCGCGGUGGCUGUAUAUUGGUUUUAUCCCCUUUAUGGU